This 545-nucleotide ribosomal RNA is filed under the name Fusarium oxysporum. Its description in RNAcentral is "eukaryotic LSU rRNA". The stretch from base 198 to 351 matches the Rfam family "5.8S ribosomal RNA". Lineage: Eukaryota; Fungi; Ascomycota; Sordariomycetes; Hypocreales; Nectriaceae. The record is from RNAcentral.
UAAAAGUCGUAACAAGGUCUCCGUUGGUGAACCAGCGGAGGGAUCAUUACCGAGUUUACAACUCCCAAACCCCUGUGAACAUACCACUUGUUGCCUCGGCGGAUCAGCCCGCUCCCGGUAAAACGGGACGGCCCGCCAGAGGACCCCUAAACUCUGUUUCUAUAUGUAACUUCUGAGUAAAACCAUAAAUAAAUCAAAACUUUCAACAACGGAUCUCUUGGUUCUGGCAUCGAUGAAGAACGCAGCAAAAUGCGAUAAGUAAUGUGAAUUGCAGAAUUCAGUGAAUCAUCGAAUCUUUGAACGCACAUUGCGCCCGCCAGUAUUCUGGCGGGCAUGCCUGUUCGAGCGUCAUUUCAACCCUCAAGCACAGCUUGGUGUUGGGACUCGCGUUAAUUCGCGUUCCUCAAAUUGAUUGGCGGUCACGUCGAGCUUCCAUAGCGUAGUAGUAAAACCCUCGUUACUGGUAAUCGUCGCGGCCACGCCGUUAAACCCCAACUUCUGAAUGUUGACCUCGGAUCAGGUAGGAAUACCCGCUGAACUUAAGC